This is a non-coding RNA of Ciona intestinalis (vase tunicate), 1391 nucleotides long. The record is from RefSeq and is a predicted model, not a curated record. NCBI's taxonomy places the organism in Eukaryota, Metazoa, Chordata, Ascidiacea, Phlebobranchia, Cionidae.
AGUUAUUGUCGGUAUGUGAACUCAAUUGUAUUUUAUAUGCAGCAUAGGGCAUGUCUUAUAAUGUACUAUAAACUUGUGAAACACAGGAUCCCAAACUUUAUUUAAAUGAAAAAAACACUAAAGUCAAGAUGCCUGUCCAAAGAUUGCUUGUUCAUCAGGAUGAAUCAAUAACGUCUCUUUCUGCACAACUAACUGAAUUUUAGAAAGUUUCCACCUAAAAAGUUACAUCUUCCAAUGACAUGAACCAUCAAAGAAUUUGGUCUUCAUUAUUAAUAUUUUUUUUUUCUUAACAAAGCUAAAGAUAAAAUCACUUUUAGCAUUGAAGACCAUUUGAGCUUUACAAUGUAUGUAAAUAUUUCCAGUGUAAAUAUGCUUCUCAAUUCAUCACAGCGAGUCACCAUGCAUCCUAAUGUAUCCUGCCUUCCUAUUACCAAGCUCUUGCAGUAUUAGCUUGUUAGUAGUAUAAAUUAGAUUGCUAACAUACCCAUGACAGCACUAUUAUUCACAUGACAAAUGCCACUAUUAUAUUUGGAGUAUUUAACUGUAUUUUUGGGAACAUUCUAUGUAUAUUCCUUUAAAAGUUUAAAAAACAUGUUUUUCUCCCCACAAGUCUAUAUAAACUUAGACACCAGCACCAAUGUAAACAAUCUAUAUCCUUUAUUAACCUCAAACUAACUAACAAGCUGGAGCGACCAAAAUUGUUCUUAGGAAUAAUACUUGAAUAUAAUGUAUAGUUUUUCUUCUAUAUACGGUACUUGUAUAAUCCGCAAAAAAGUAAUGCAAAUUUUGGUGUUUAGUUUUUGAUAAAGUUUUUAUAAAAACCGAAUACUUAGUUUAUCAUAUGCCGAAACUAUUUGAUGUCCUAAUUUUUUUUUUUAAUUCUCAGUCACCCUUACAACAAUCUAUUCAUGACAUAGCACUUCCCUUGUAUAUGCUUUUUUAUAUUCAUAAUUAUGUUUAUUACUAAUUGUAUAUGUAGCAGUUGGUUCCGCAAAUUGCAGUAUUACCCUCGUAGUUCAUCAUUCCACCCGAUUUAAUUCAAGAACACUUGUACAUAUCAACCUUGAAGUGGGUGGUAACAUGGUGGACUAACGAGGGAUGUGUCUUGAGCACAUUAUUAAUCCCUAUAUAUCCAGCAAUAUCAUGCACAUUAAUCAUUCGUCCAUUAGCUGCACAACAUCACAUAUAUUCAUUAUAUACAUCUGUAUUAACCUGCCUAUGCAUGUAAUAUUAUACAUACCACAUGCUGUGUAUAAAGGUCACAAUAUAUAAUAUAACAUACACAAUACUAAUGUAAAAUGUGUGUUUUUUGUAUUUGGGGUAGAACAGAUUUGUGGUAUUGGUCAUCCUUGCUUAAAUCUGUGAAUGCGUUUUUAUGUAAACGUACAGUU